Arachis ipaensis is the source of this 264-nucleotide non-coding RNA. The record is from RefSeq and is a predicted model, not a curated record. Lineage: Eukaryota; Viridiplantae; Streptophyta; Magnoliopsida; Fabales; Fabaceae.
CGAAGGAUUCCUUGCUCCCACUUUUGUGUGGGAGUAUGAUUAACCUACAGUAAAAUAAUUACAAAAUUUUCAGAUUCAGUUUCACAUUCAACGAAGAAGAGAGGUCUGCUAGGGUAACGCCAUUUUCUCAUCUUCUUCUCUCUUCUCUCUGGUUCGCCUACCCUCGCCGCCACAACACGCAUCGUCCGCCGCCCCUCCCUGCGUCCGCCGCCAAGAGAGAUCUGCUAGGGUAACGCCAUUUUCUGAUCUUCUUCUCUCUGGUUC